Molecule: ribosomal RNA, 492 nt
Filed under: uncultured bacterium
Lineage: Bacteria
Description: partial 16S ribosomal RNA
Rfam family: Bacterial small subunit ribosomal RNA
Source: RNAcentral
AGUGAACGCUGGCGGUAGGCCUAACACAUGCAAGUCGAACGGCAGCACAGUAAGAGCUUGCUCUUACGGGUGGCGAGUGGCGGACGGGUGAGGAAUACAUCGGAAUCUACUUUUUCGUGGGGGAUAACGUAGGGAAACUUACGCUAAUACCGCAUACGACCUACGGGUGAAAGCAGGGGAUCUUCGGACCUUGCGCGAUUGAAUGAGCCGAUGUCGGAUUAGCUAGUCGGCGGGGUAAAGGCCCACCAAGGCGACGAUCCGUAGCUGGUCUGAGAGGAUGAUCAGCCACACUGGAACUGAGACACGGUCCAGACUCCUACGGGAGGCAGCAGUGGGGAAUAUUGGACAAUGGGCGCAAGCCUGAUCCAGCCAUACCGCGUGGGUGAAGAAGGCCCUCGGGUUGUAAAGCCCUUUUGUUGGGAAAGAAAAGCAGCAGGUUAAUACCCCGCUGUUCUGACGGUACCCAAAGAAUAAGCACCGGCUAACUUCGUG